Long non-coding RNA from Gadus macrocephalus (Pacific cod), 574 nucleotides. RefSeq lists it as uncharacterized. The record is from RefSeq and is a predicted model, not a curated record. The transcript has 3 exons. NCBI's taxonomy places the organism in Eukaryota, Metazoa, Chordata, Actinopteri, Gadiformes, Gadidae.
ACUGAUAUGCCGGCAUUGAGAAAAUGUUGGUGUAUCAUGCUAAUCGAAAACCUUGGAAGCCAUGGCAAACUCUUUGCCCACUGGACCGACGCAUCUAAGGCUCUUCUUCGGGGUGAGGUGCCACCAGUUUUCAAACUGAAGAAGAGAAGGCAAGAUGAUAUACAUGAGGGGCCAAUUGACAACAUCGUGGCUGGAGUUGCCUGGUUGCGUCAGAAUGCAGGUUUGCUCAGGGCGGGGGAAGGUGGUCGAGCCCUCGUUUCAGAAUAUGGACGCAACAGAACACCAGGAGCUCCUGGAAAGGAUACGUUUUUGAAAUGAUGAAGAAGAAAAGUAUCCCCUGCUCUUCACCUUUGAUUUUCAGGAAGACCUGGAGGUCUUCCUUAACAUGGCAGCUGAGGAGGAUCUUCGAGUCAACGCCAUGUUCCUGGGUCGCUGGGUGGAAACUCAUUGACAUUGCUGUGUGUGUGUGUGUGUGUGUGUGUGUGUGUGUGUGUGUGUGUGUGUGUGUGUGUGUGUGUGUGUGUGUGUGUGUGUGUGUGUGUGUGUGUGUGUGUGUGUGUGUGUGUGCGUGCGC